GACGAACGCUGGCGGCGUGCCUAACACAUGCAAGUCGAACGAAGCACUGCGGAAAGAGACUUCGGUCAAUGGAAGCUUUGACUUAGUGGCGGACGGGUGAGUAACGCGUGAGGAACCUGCCUUUCAGUGGGGGACAACAGUUGGAAACGACUGCUAAUACCGCAUAAAGUGUUUUGGGGGCAUCCCCGGAACACCAAAGAUUUAUUGCUGAAAGAUGGCCUCGCGUCUGAUUAGAUAGUUGGCGGGGUAACGGCCCACCAAGACCGCGAUCGGUAGCCGACCUGAGAGGGUGACCGGCCACAUUGGGACUGAGACACGGCCCAGACUCCUACGGGAGGCAGCAGUGGGGAAUAUUGCACAAUGGAGGAAACUCUGAUGCAGCGACGCCGCGUGAGCGAAGAAGUAUUUCGGUAUGUAAAGCUCUGUCAGCAGGGAAGAUAAUGACGGUACCUGACCAAGAAGCCCCGGCUAACUAACGUG
RNAcentral lists this ribosomal RNA (480 nucleotides) under uncultured bacterium. Its description in RNAcentral is "bacterial SSU rRNA". It matches the Rfam family "Bacterial small subunit ribosomal RNA", at positions 28 to 507 of the family's 1533-position model. The record is from RNAcentral.